Molecule: ribosomal RNA, 497 nt
Filed under: uncultured bacterium
Lineage: Bacteria
Description: partial 16S ribosomal RNA
Rfam family: Bacterial small subunit ribosomal RNA
Source: RNAcentral
GAUGAACGCUGGCGGCGUGCCUAAUACAUGCAAGUCGAGCGAACAGACGAGGAGUUUGCUCCUCUGACGUUAGCGGCGGACGGGUGAGUAACACGUGGAUAACCUCCCUAUAAGACUGAGAUAACUUCGAGAAACCGGAGCUAAUACCGUAUAAUAUAUUGAACCUCAUGGUUCAAUGAUGAAAGACGGUUUUGUUGUAGCUUAUUGAUGCACUCUCGCCGCUUUGGGUGGUUGGUAAGGUAAAGGAGUACGAAGGGAACGUUGCGUAGCAGAACGGAGAGGGUGAUCGGCCGCACUGGAACGGAGACACGGUCCAGGCGCCUAGGGGCGGCAGCAGUAGGGAAUCUUGAGCAAUGGGCGAGAACCUGACGGCGAAAGGCCGAGUGAGUGAUGCAGGUCUUCGGAGCGUACGACUAUGUUAUUAGGGAAGAAAAAAUGUGUCAGUAACUAAGCACGUCUUGACGGUACCUAAUCAGAAAGCCACGGCUAACUACGUG